CCUGCUAAGACAAGUGCGUGUAUGUGUUUAGGGAGGACGGAGUCCGCCCCAAGGGCAGUCUGCUUAGCAGCCAGCGGGAGGCGCCAAGUGCUCGGGCCUUCUGGACCCCGCCAUGGGGCGGGGCGGGGCGGGGCGGGUUCCACGUGUUCCCCUGGACCACGGGUUUCCCCGGUGAGGCGGACUGGCAAGCCGCAGCGUUGGGCAACCGGGCUCGGAUGCCUCCCGGGCCGCGCGCUGGUCCCCCGUAGCUCAGGGUCUCGCCACGGGCGGUUGGGGCCCUCCGCGGGCAGAAGGCUGUCGCGGGCGCCUCAAUUGCUCUCCGAUUUCAAGGUUGAAAGCGGCGCUGCGUGUAUCUGUAGCUAAAGGCAGGCUGCGGUGGGAGGUGGGCCAGGCCGGGAGCCCUGCGGCUGGUGGCUGCGGCCCGGGCUCACUCCCGCCACCCGGGAGAGAGUGCAGGCCGGCAACCGAGGCCAGGCCCGCCGCGUGCUCACCUGCUGGUCCUGGAGGCUACGGGUAGGGGCGACGGGGCGGGGCCAGGGCGCGACCGGCCAAUGGGGAGAGGCUAUUCGACUGUUAAAUUCCCCCUGGAAAGUGGAGGGGGAGGGGGCUGAGGGGAAAGUUCCAAGCUCCCGAGAAAUGGAAGGCCUGCUUGGGAACCAGAGCCGCCCAGGGACAGUUUGGGGCGCAGAGUCAGGAUAGAGGGACAGGAAGAUGCCGGCUGCGGCCGCAUCCGCCGGGAGCCGCAGGCCCCGCCCUGACCGCCUCUCCCUUCCCGGGCUCCGCUGGGCCACACGCCCGCCUGCGCCGGCUCCAUAGCGCCACCUGCUGGACUCCGGCCGCGCGCCUGGCGUGCCGAGGCCGAGGCUCUCAAAGGACCGACCGCGUUGGCCUCCCUGGCCUGGGAUGGCUGGGGAAUGAGUUCACUCACUUCGGAUCCAGCGGCUUUGGAGCCGGAGGCAACCGCCUCUUUAAAAAUACAUGAUGGGGUCAGAGGAACGACGAUCGUGAGAAUCACUUCUUGUUCUGUCCCUCCUACCGGGGCUGACAUUUCCACCACUCAAGUGACAUUUCCACCCAGGUAUGAGGAAAUAGCGAUGAGUCUGUCCCAGGAAGAAGGCAGCAGCGAAGGGCAGUUCAGAGCCGCCCCAGGCACCUAGUGACAGCAAGGCACUGCUGGAAGCAGCCUUGGGCUCCUGUUGUCCUGGGGUGGCCACAGACAUGGGCAAGGGAGGCAGCUGCCUGCCAUGCUCUAUGAGGGGUCGAAAGCCGUGGUAGGCCCCGUGUGGGUGUCCUUUCCCGGCCUCUCUGGCCUGCCUUAGUAUAGCGCUGGAAUCUCAUGAUUAGAAACAGGACCCAUUCAUUCUUUUAAUAAACAUUUAUUGAGCACCUACUGUGUGCCAGGCACUGUGCUAGGCGCUGGGGAUACAUCAGUGACUAACACACAGUCCCUGUCCUUGAGGAGCUCACAGUCUAUUGGAGGGGAAACAUACAUAAACACAUAGCUAAGGCGCUACCAUGUGCUAAGUGCUACAAUAAGAGGUAUAUACAAAGUGCUGUGGGAGCUCAGAGGAGGGAGUAAUGCAUCAGCUGUUGGGGGUGAGGAGCCAGUCUCUUGACUCCAUCAAACUAUUGCAAAGGCAGGGGCGCUGUUGCUACACGACCCUGGUUGAAAUGAACCUUUCUCCUGAGGCUCUCCUCUAGCCCUCUCCCAUAACUACAUCAGCACAGGUUAGUUUAUCAGCUUAGCUAAUUUAACACUUUGAAUAGGAAAGAAACUGGACAGGGAAGUUUCUUGAGAGGCAGGGGAUGUUCAAAGUAGUAACAACUCUUGGGUGCUAAGGCCAGGGGUGGGGUGGGGGUACCAUGAGGGCACUGAGCCAGGGAGGGCCGGCCCUGGGCAGUGGAGCACCCGGGGUGAGUGUCUGUGCAGAGGGGAGGUCGGAGGUCACCUACCUCACUUUGGUCCCCCUCUCUCCCCAGCUCAAUCAGUAACCGUCCGUUGACGCUCACUAGAUGCUUCGUAGUGUGCCCUGCUACGGGCGACAGUCCCACUCCCCUCAGAAGGUAACACACUAACUGGGGAGACUACAUAAGUCCAGGCCAUUGAAGAUUUAAGUAACAGUUUGUCAUUAUUAUAGAGGCGAUGUCACAGGCUGCUCACAGUCAGUUACCAAAGAAUGGCACUUGCAACAUACUUCGAAUGAACUCACUUAAGGGUAGGCUGGUCUGGGGAGGCAGUGUCAAUGAACUGAGCCUUGAAGGAUGGGUAUAAUUUGAUGAGUACUAGCGGGGUGGGACGGAGAAGGCAAUGGCACCCCACUCCAGUACUCUUGCCUGGAAAAUCCCAUGGAUGGAGGAGCCUGGUAGGCUGCAGUCCAUGGGGUCGCAUAAGCUUAACUGGACAUGACUGAAGUGACUUAGCAGCAGCAGCAGCAGCAGGGUGGGAAGAGCAUUGUGGUUGAGCAGAAGCAAGAAAAGUAAAAGUACAGAGGGAGGCAACUCCAACAGAAGCAGGUGCAAAGGUUAGUGAAUCCAUCCGUUUGACUGGAGCAAUACAAGGGGUCAGGGGAGCAGUGGGAGGUGAAUGGGGAAGUAGGCUAGGACGUGAUGGUAAAGUGCAAAAUACUCCUGGAACAACUGCCCUGAGCCAUCAAGUGCUCCCAAAUCCCUCCUCCAGGACCCCUGGAUUGCCUUGUGAGUCAGACAAUAAAGGGUUAAUGCCCAGCCACUAAGAACAGAUUGGAAGUUAAGGAUUUUGAGUAUUACCCCCAUUUGUAGGCAGUGAGAAGCCCCAGGAGACUUUUUGGCAGAGGAAGAAUAGAGCUGGGGCCCUGGCAGGUUGGAGGGGGUGACUCAGAUCACACUGGGGGACUGCUGAUAUGUCCAGGGAAGGGGAUAAGCUCUGGGGGAGGCUGAACAAGGCUGGAGGCUCUCUUCAAGUGUGGAAGAAUGGCUGGAUUGGAGAGACGUGGCAAACCACACCGGAUUUGAGGCAACGAGUAAGGGUCAGGGUCAAGUGAAUGUGGCCAGCAGAUGGCUCUGAAAUGUCAAGCUUAGAAGGUCAGGACAAUAACAGAAGUAGGCAAGUCAUGACGGCCUUUUUGUCUGGAAUGGUUUUGUGUGUUGGAAGACUUCCAAAAAUCCAUUUUUGAUAGAGGGACAAUCUUUGAGGGUCUGACAAUCAUCUAGGUAGAACUAUCCAGGAGAAAUGUGAGCCAGAAGCUGAGAAGAGUAGGGGCUGGGCCUCUAGAUUCCAUACCCAACCUGAAGAGCCUCACUGGAGCCAGGAGGAUGGCUGAGGCUCGUGGGGUGCCCACAGUGAAUGUAGAUGUGGAGCUAGAAAGGGCACAGAGAGGGUGACAGAGGAAGGGGAAGUAGUGUCAUGUGCUGUGAGGACUUACAAGGGGCCAAGAACUAUGAAGAAGAAAUUUGACAUCAUCUCCAGGGUAUCAGUGACUUCAGAUGAAGAGUCCUAUGGGGUUCAGGUGAGGGGGCAGGGCCACUCCUAACCCAUGUGGCACCUUUGUGUAAAGUUGUUUUCAAAGGUGACCCUUUCUCAAGAUGUUUUGCUCUCCACCACCAGGAAGCUGUCAUCAUAAGCUGAUUUUAUUAGAAAAAGGGACAUUAAUGCCAAGUGCUGGAGACAUGUAAGAAAUAUACCCGCACAACCAUACAUGGUUCCCUCCCAGGGUGGAGAAGGGGGAGAACAAGAGGUGACAGAGCAUGAUAAUGGGCUUGGCAGUGACCAGAAGGAGAGAGAGAGAAGGGCAACCAGGGGAGGUAGUGAGAUCAAGUGGCUGGUUUUGUGUCAAGGACACAGCAAGGGUCCUGAGGCACCAAUUCACAGUAACCACAUUUACCAGAUCCUAUCGCUGUUUCUGAGGCUGACAUAGUAGAGCUCUCAGCCUUGCUCCCAAACCUGGCAGGAGAGACAAAGGCAAAUUCACAGAAGAGAGAGGGGAGGGGAUCAAGGCCCCCUGCCGAGGGGUGGACUUUAAGAGAUAACUGGCUGACCCCCUUCUCAGAAAGAGGAAAGGUGGAAGGAAGGCAUGCGGAAGGACAGAAAGGACAGGAGCUCACAGGUUCAGGCCCCAUCUUCGUGGAGGAGGAGUCAGGGUGAAGUGAGAAGGCUGGCUGUCAAGGACCUCGGCCCACUGGAGGAGGUCUACUGCAGCCAUAGAGGAAGUGGGUACGUGGGCAGACCUGUGAGGGGAAUAGAAAGCAGGCUGACCAGCAAGGAGGCACGAGCAGGGACGGAGGCAGACCCCGAGCAUGUGGUUACCCGACGUCCCCUGCACCGCCUGCCAGCAAUGGAUGGCAGGGGCGAAAUUAACCAAGACGGAAGCCAGGAUUUGGGAUGCAGAGCAGGGUGGCCGUGAAGGCUAGAAUUACAGCCCAAGCCCUGGGUGCAAACAUCCAUUAUUUAGUCCCCUUCCCCUGGGGACCUUGUGGCUGAGUCUAACCCUGGAGGGGCACAAAACACUCUGGGGAGAUUAAGGAUUUGGCCUGCUAGCAAAUGACUGGUGGGCAAUGAGGCUGAGCCCAAGAAGACCUCGGUCUAGCCUGUGGGGCUGCUCCACAGGGCUGAAUUCCUUCCCUCUCUUCAGGGUUUUAUCCCACAUGGCUUUCUCCUUGUCCCCUACAAUUCCGUCUUCCCCAACAAACACACCCAUCAAAGCUCUCCUCCCCAGACCUACCCCAGCUCUGUGACAUCUCUCCAGAUUUGGGGGCUCAAACCUGUACCCCAUAGUCUCAGAACAAAUCUUGGCUUGUACAAAGGGAACUGGAGAAUGCUUUCCCUCCAAACAAAAAACUCCCCAUCUCUGUGGCUGACCUUCAGAGAGACACACACCCUUGAAGACCUCACAGCUACACCCCCAUCCUCACCAAAGAAGACGCACAAGUACACACAAAUACAUACAGAGAUAUUCACAUAUGGCAUAGUAAAUACUCUGCAGAGGGAACGAAGAUGGUGGAAUACAGCCAGGUAAAAAGACUCUUCUCAUGAAGCCCCUACCCCAGCCCUGGUUACAAACAUCUCAGAAGGUUUGCCUCCAUCAGGAAGUCAGCCCAUUACCCCGACAAGAGCAUAUCCCCUAGUACUCUUAAAAGCCAUGGUCUGACACCAGGGAUGCUCCAACUGGGCCUGUCUUGGCCAUGGUGACACCAAGCAGGGGUGGCAUGGGGGUCUGGUGUAUUGACACCCUGCUGAAAUGUAAGGGCUGGUGUACUACUUCAGUCAGUCUCUCUUAGAGGAAGUCCGUGUACAAAUGCUGCUCAACUUUGCCUGGCAGUCACAU
This 5300-nucleotide long non-coding RNA is filed under the name Bos grunniens (domestic yak). RNAcentral's name for it is "lncRNA (ENSBGRG00000025873.1)". Lineage: Eukaryota; Metazoa; Chordata; Mammalia; Artiodactyla; Bovidae. The record is from RNAcentral.